UAGAGUUUGAUCCUGGCUCAGAUUGAACGCUGGCGGCAGGCCUAACACAUGCAAGUCGAGCGGUAACAGAUUGAUAGCUUGCUAUCAAUGCUGACGAGCGGCGGACGGGUGAGUAAUGCCUGGGAAUAUGCCUCAGUGUGGGGGAUAACUAUUGGAAACGAUAGCUAAUACCGCAUAAUCUCCGAUCUUUUACGAGAUGGGAGCAAAGCGGGGGACCUUCGGGCCUCGCGCGCUGAGAUUAGCCCAGGUGGGAUUAGCUUGUUGGUGAGGUAAUGGCUCACCAAGGCAACGAUCCCUAGCUGGUCUGAGAGGAUGAUCAGCCACACUGGAACUGAGACACGGUCCAGACUCCUACGGGAGGCAGCAGUGGGGAAUAUUGCACAAUGGGGGAAACCCUGAUGCAGCCAUGCCGCGUGUAUGAAGAAGGCCUUCGGGUUGUAAAGUACUUUCAGUUGUGAGGAAGGCGUUGGAGUUAAUAGCUUCAACGUUUGACGUUAGCAACAGAAGAAGCACCGGCUAACUCCGUGCCAGCAGCCGCGGUAAUACGGAGGGUGCGAGCGUUAAUCGGAAUUACUGGGCGUAAAGCGCAUGCAGGUGGUCUGUUAAGCAAGAUGUGAAAGCCCGGGGCUCAACCUCGGAACAGCAUUUUGAACUGGCAGACUAGAGUACUGUAGAGGGGGGUAGAAUUUCA
Molecule: ribosomal RNA, 691 nt
Filed under: uncultured Vibrionaceae bacterium
Lineage: Bacteria; Pseudomonadati; Pseudomonadota; Gammaproteobacteria; Vibrionales; Vibrionaceae
Description: bacterial SSU rRNA
Rfam family: Bacterial small subunit ribosomal RNA
Source: RNAcentral